UAACCAUGGUAUGGACAAAACCUCAGCAAGUCCUUGUACCUCUCCCAUGCAUCAUACAUGCUCUCAUCAUCAAACUGCAUAAAAGAAGAAAUAUCAUUAUGCAUCU
This 106-nucleotide small nucleolar RNA is filed under the name Ricinus communis (castor bean). RNAcentral describes it as "Plant small nucleolar RNA R71". It matches the Rfam family "Plant small nucleolar RNA R71". From Rfam's summary of the family: R71 is a member of the C/D box family of snoRNAs containing the C (UGAUGA) and D (CUGA) box motifs. Multiple nearly identical copies of this snoRNA have been identified in Arabidopsis, and it is thought to function as a 2'-O-ribose methylation guide for 18S ribosomal RNA. Lineage: Eukaryota; Viridiplantae; Streptophyta; Magnoliopsida; Malpighiales; Euphorbiaceae. The record is from Rfam by way of RNAcentral.